This 457-nucleotide ribosomal RNA is filed under the name Pantoea sp. RNAcentral's name for it is "bacterial SSU rRNA". It matches the Rfam family "Bacterial small subunit ribosomal RNA", at positions 335 to 785 of the family's 1533-position model. The record is from RNAcentral. Lineage: Bacteria; Pseudomonadati; Pseudomonadota; Gammaproteobacteria; Enterobacterales; Erwiniaceae.
UUCCUACGGGGAGGCAGCAGUGGGGAAUAUUGCACAAUGGGCGCAAGCCUGAUGCAGCCAUGCCGCGUGUAUGAAGAAGGCCUUCGGGUUGUAAAGUACUUUCAGCGGGGAGGAAGGCGAUGGGGUUAAUAACCCGUCGAUUGACGUUACCCGCAGAAGAAGCACCGGCUAACUCCGUGCCAGCAGCCGCGGUAAUACGGAGGGUGCAAGCGUUAAUCGGAAUUACUGGGCGUAAAGCGCACGCAGGCGGUCUGUUAAGUCAGAUGUGAAAUCCCCGGGCUUAACCUGGGAACUGCAUUUGAAACUGGCAGGCUUGAGUCUUGUAGAGGGGGGUAGAAUUCCAGGUGUAGCGGUGAAAUGCGUAGAGAUCUGGAGGAAUACCGGUGGCGAAGGCGGCCCCCUGGACAAAGACUGACGCUCAGGUGCGAAAGCGUGGGGAGCAAACAGGAUUAGAUAC